Molecule: ribosomal RNA, 172 nt
Filed under: [Pseudomonas] sp. BICA1-14
Lineage: Bacteria; Pseudomonadati; Pseudomonadota; Gammaproteobacteria; Pseudomonadales; Pseudomonadaceae
Description: Pseudomonas sp. BICA1-14 partial 16S ribosomal RNA
Rfam family: Bacterial small subunit ribosomal RNA (bases 41-172)
Source: RNAcentral
UGAGCCAAGUUUAGGGUUUUCUCAAAACCCAAGCAGUAUUGAACUGAAGAGUUUGAUCAUGGCUCAGAUUGAACGCUGGCGGCAGGCCUAACACAUGCAAGUCGAGCGGAUGAAGAGAGCUUGCUCUCUGAUUCAGCGGCGGACGGGUGAGUAAUGCCUAGGAAUCUGCCUG